Molecule: ribosomal RNA, 1046 nt
Filed under: uncultured Foraminifera-like protist
Lineage: Eukaryota; Foraminifera
Description: bacterial SSU rRNA
Rfam family: Eukaryotic small subunit ribosomal RNA
Source: RNAcentral
AAGGGCACCACAAGAACGCGUGGAGCAUGUGGCUUAAUUUGACUCAACGCGGGGAAACUUACCGGGUCCGGACACACUGAGGAUUGACAGGUGCUCGGUAAAAGGGAAGAGGAAGCGCUUUGGCAUUUCCUUUUCCCCUUUGCCUUAAAUAUGAUAGUCCUUUCAUGAUUGUGUGAUAGGUGGUGCAUGGCCGUUCUUAGUUCGUGGAGUGAUCUGUCUGCUUAAUUGCGUUUCAGAAUAAAGGUUCUUACCGGCCAUGUUAAUUUUGUAACGAGGCCUCCUUUUAUGCGUGCCUUAGGGUUUCGUUAAAAGGUUGCUGCUCUCUUACAUUUAACAGCCUUAUGAAACCUCGAAGGAAACGAACGUGAUCGCAACCUCUUGUUGCCUCUCUUUUACCAUCUUUAACCAUGGUAGACUGCUACCUCGUAGUUCUUUCCUAUUUAAAAGGAAGCUAUGGGGGAUAGCAGAACGGAAUGCUUUAACUAGAAGGAACGCCGACUCCUUUAAAACGGAAGAAGGUGCCGGCAAUAACAGUUUUGUGAUGCCCUUAGAUGUUCCGGGCUGCACACGUGCUACAAUGAUCGUUGCAGUGAGCAUCUUUAAACGCUUGUAAGGGAAAUUUAUUUCCCCUUUACGACACACCUACUUCGAAAGUAAGUAGGUAAUCAAUUCGAAGUAACGAUUUCUCUCGCACACAAAACCUCGUAGCGCCUUAGCUUUUCUUAGUGGUUUCGAUUGCUAAGCAAUAGCCUAGGGAUUGCUACGAAGUGCUCUUAUUUUUUUCAUGGUGGGGACAGACCAUUGCAAUUGUUGGUCUCGGUCUUAACUAGGAAUGCCUUGUACGGGUCAUGGUUCAACAGACCACCCGGAAUAUGUCCCUGCCCUUUGUACACACCGCCCGUCGCUCUUACCGAUGGACUUCUCUGUGAGUAUAAGGGACUGGUAUACUAAUACUAUGGAAACUUACACGAACAGUGUGGUCUAAAGGAAAGAGAAGUCGUAACAAGGCAUCGGUAGGUGAACCUGCAGAAGGAUCAAGCUUAGAU